CAUUUUUUCUCACCAGAGGGUACACGAUCGAAUAUCGUCUGCUUCACUAAAGACUCGAAUAAAUUACAAUAGAAGCCUCCGGCGAGGGAUCCAACACCCGCAUCACCCCCAUAAGUACGUCACAGUACGCAGGGAAAGAAAAGAGCCAAUUGGAGAUAAGGAAAUUAAAUUUUUUUUGAAAACAAUUUAUGCGCAUGGCAGAGUUUUAUCGAGCAUUGUAAGAAAAUAAUUGGCAAAGCUAAUAAGAGAAAAACAUAAAUUCGAGAAGCAGACUCAUUAGAAAGUCAUUUACAAAAGGAUUUUUCUAUCGUUCGUUAUUAAUGACCUGGGCUAGAAAAUAUUCGGCCAUGGAAUCACCAAAUCUACUGUCGCCGUAUCUCGUUAGAGUAAAGACAGUGGUCGAAUGUAAAGUUUUGUGAGGUAACGACGAAUUAAAUAAAAAAAGGGGGAAAGAAAAUCACGUGGAAAUUAAUGGUUACAAUCAGUUUAUGGCUUUGUCUUUUAUUUAUUUUUGUAAAAGUCGAAUUAAGAACUUGGCUUAAGAGAUUCGUUAAAUUUCUAUAUACUAUUUCGAUAGUUCAAAGACCACCGGACUAAGUUCACGUGGUGAUCGAAGAGGUCGUUGUAUAGUUUAUAAAAGGAAAAAGUUGUGUACGAAAUAUAAUAAACUGCCGACAAGAUUUUAAAAAAAUGCAUCCGAUAAAUGCUUUAACGGAGUGUUAAUUCCCUAGUAACAGUGUCACGUGUAUAAUUCACCGUGUUGUACGGGAAAGGCGAAUGGAAGGAGAACUAUCGAGCGUGUCUAACCUUUAAAGCUGGGAGACGUUGAUGCGAGCUUCGCAGCAAAUACGUCAAUGUUGUAUGCCUCAUUACCGCUGCACAUAUUGGCAGCGGGGGUAGCAACACCAACAGCCUUUCAUUUGUCACGUGGACAUAUAUUACUUUUUAAUCCCUUGGGUGGUGUGACAUGAUGGAUAACGGCGGGCCAAGAAAUAGAUGCCGCUGCCUCUAUACAUCCCAGAAUGCUGCUGAACUUUCAUGAAAUUCAUGAAUCUAGAGAAUUCUUUUCCUCGCUGUUUGAUUAUUUGGAAAAGUGACUUAUGGAUAAAAAAUAGUACAAAGUUAUAAGCUCUGAUAAAUCUUAAAUAAAUCUAA
This is a long non-coding RNA of Centruroides sculpturatus (bark scorpion), 1155 nucleotides long. RefSeq lists it as uncharacterized. NCBI's taxonomy places the organism in Eukaryota, Metazoa, Arthropoda, Arachnida, Scorpiones, Buthidae. The record is from RefSeq and is a predicted model, not a curated record. The transcript is spliced from 5 exons.